AAUAGAUACCCCGGUAGUCCACGCCGUAAACGGUGGGCACUAGAUGUGGGGCUCUUUCCAUGAGUUCCGCGUCGCAGCUAACGCAUUAAGUGCCCCGCCUGGGGAGUACGGCCGCAAGGCUAAAACUCAAAGGAAUUGACGGGGGCCCGCACAAGCGGCGGAGCAUGCGGAUUAAUUCGAUGCAACGCGAAGAACCUUACCAAGGCUUGACAUAUACGGUCUAUCCCUAGAGAUAGGGAGUGCUUCGGUGCCGUAUACAGGUGGUGCAUGGUUGUCGUCAGCUCGUGUCGUGAGAUGUUGGGUUAAGUCCCGCAACGAGCGCAACCCUCGUCCUAUGUUGCCAGCGGAUAAUGCCGGGGACUCAUGGGAGACUGCCGGGGUCAACUCGGAGGAAGGUGGGGAUGAGGUCAAAUCAUCAUGCCCCUUAUGUCUUGGGCUUCACGCAUGCUACAAUGGCCGGUACAAAGGGCUGCAAUCCGCGAGGUGGAGCGAAUCCCGAAAAAGCCGGUCUCAGUUCGGAUUGAGGU
This 527-nucleotide ribosomal RNA is filed under the name uncultured bacterium. RNAcentral's name for it is "bacterial SSU rRNA". It matches the Rfam family "Bacterial small subunit ribosomal RNA", at positions 777 to 1304 of the family's 1533-position model. The record is from RNAcentral.